RNAcentral lists this ribosomal RNA (254 nucleotides) under uncultured bacterium. RNAcentral describes it as "partial 16S ribosomal RNA". It matches the Rfam family "Bacterial small subunit ribosomal RNA", at positions 524 to 776 of the family's 1533-position model. The record is from RNAcentral.
CACGUAGGGGCCAAGCGUUGUCCGGAUUUAUUGGGCGUAAAGAGCUCGUAGGCGGUUCGACAAGUCGGGUGUGAAAACUCCGGGCUCAACCCGGAGACGCCACCCGAUACUGUCGUGACUGGAGUCCGGUAGGGGAGUGGGGAAUUCCUGGUGUAGCGGUGAAAUGCGCAGAUAUCAGGAGGAAUACCAGCGGCGAAGGCGGCGCUCUGGGCCGGUACUGACGCUGAGGAGCGAAAGCGUGGGGAGCAAACAGG